This 527-nucleotide ribosomal RNA is filed under the name uncultured eukaryote. Its description in RNAcentral is "partial 18S ribosomal RNA". It matches the Rfam family "Eukaryotic small subunit ribosomal RNA", at positions 652 to 1088 of the family's 1831-position model. The record is from RNAcentral.
UGGGGAGUAGGAGACUGUAAAAGGUUGAUUGCUUUCCAUUCUUUUCUAGUUUGAAAAAAACUAAAUCAAAAUAGAGGUUUUACUCCUUUGUUUUGAUCUUUUACUUUGAGGAAAUUAGAGUGUUCAAAGCAAGCAACAUUAGUUUUGCUACUUUUUUUUGAAUAUUGCAGCAUGGUAUAAUAAAAUAAGAUUGAUUAAAUUAAAUUUGUUGAAUCAAGUGUGGGCGAGGUGAAAGCUUCGUUUACAUGAAUUUCAAAUUAAUCAAUAAUGAUAAAUAGAGAUAGUUGGGGGUAUUCAUAUUUGAUUGUCAGAGGUGAAAUUCUUGGAUUUUUCAAAGAUGAACUAGUGCGAAAGCAUUUAUCAAGGAUGUUUUCAUGUGAUCAAGAACGAAAGUUUAGGGGGAUUGAAGACGAUUAGAUACCGUUGUAGUCCUAACUAUAAACGAUGCCAACCAAAGAUAAGAAAAAAGGAACUAAAAGGGGGGGGGGUAGGCACGUCCACUUCUCUCUCUCUAUGUCCUUUCUUGG